UGAGGAAUAUUGGACAAUGGGUGGAAGCCUGAUCCAGCCAUCCCGCGUGAAGGAUGGCGGUUCUAUGGAUUGUAAACUUCUUUUGUACAGGGAUAAACCUGCCCUCGUGAGGGCAGCUGAAGGUACUGUACGAAUAAGCACCGGCUAACUCCGUGCCAGCAGCCGCGGUAAUACGGAGGGUGCGAGCGUUAUCCGGAUUUAUUGGGUUUAAAGGGUCCGUAGGCGGGCCUGUAAGUCAGUGGUGAAAUCUCAUAGCUUAACUAUGAAACUGCCAUUGAUACUGCAGGCCUUGAGUAAAUUUGAAGUGGCUGGAAUAAGUAGUGUAGCGGUGAAAUGCAUAGAUAUUACUUAGAACACCGAUUGCGAAGGCAGGUCACUAAGAUUUAACUGACGCUGAUGGACGAAAGCGUGGGGAGCGAACA
This 422-nucleotide ribosomal RNA is filed under the name uncultured bacterium. Its description in RNAcentral is "bacterial SSU rRNA". It matches the Rfam family "Bacterial small subunit ribosomal RNA", at positions 355 to 774 of the family's 1533-position model. The record is from RNAcentral.